AUAGUACUCCCUCUGUUUCAAAAUUUUUGUCUUAAAUUUAUCUAGAUAUAAAUGUAUUUAGUCACAUUCUAGUAUCUAGAUACAUUCAUUUCUAAACAAACAUAAGACGAAUUUUGGAACGUAGGGAGUACCUC
Hordeum vulgare subsp. vulgare (domesticated barley) is the source of this 134-nucleotide non-coding RNA. The record is from Rfam. NCBI's taxonomy places the organism in Eukaryota, Viridiplantae, Streptophyta, Magnoliopsida, Poales, Poaceae.